Molecule: ribosomal RNA, 471 nt
Filed under: uncultured bacterium
Lineage: Bacteria
Description: bacterial SSU rRNA
Rfam family: Bacterial small subunit ribosomal RNA
Source: RNAcentral
ACUAACGCUGGCGGCGUGCCUAACACAUGCAAGUCGUGCGGGUAUAAGUGGCAACACUUAUGCUAGCGGCAGACGGGUGAGUAACGCGUAAAUAAUCUACCCUAUUACUGGGGAUAAGCUUUCGAAAGGAAGUGUAAUACCGAAUAAGUCUUAAUGAUGCAGAUUGUUAAGAUAAAAGCCGUAAGGCGUGAUGGGAUGAGCCUGCGUCCUAUUAGCUAGUUGGUAGGGUAAUGGCCUACCAAGGCGAUGAUGGGUAGCCGGCCUGAGAGGGUGAACGGCCACACUGGAACUGAGACACGGUCCAGACUCCUACGGGAGGCAGCAGUGAGGAAUUUUGCGCAAUGGGCGAAAGCCUGACGCAGCGACGCCGCGUGGAGGAAGACGGCCUUCGGGUUGUAAACUCCUGUCAGAGGUGAAGAACGCCCGCAAGGGCUUGACGGUAACCUCAGAGGAAGCCCCGGCUAACUACGU